This 791-nucleotide ribosomal RNA is filed under the name Cucujus clavipes (red flat bark beetle). RNAcentral describes it as "partial 16S ribosomal RNA". The stretch from base 381 to 539 matches the Rfam family "Bacterial large subunit ribosomal RNA", at positions 2473 to 2632 of the family's 2925-position model. Lineage: Eukaryota; Metazoa; Arthropoda; Insecta; Coleoptera; Cucujidae. The record is from RNAcentral.
GUCCUAUAGAUAAUAUUUUUAGGUCUGUCCUGCCCACUGAUUUUAUUGAAUGGCCGCGGUAUUUUGACCGUGCAAAGGUAGCAUAAUCAUUAGUUUUUUUAUUGAAAGCUGGAAUGAAAGGAUGAAUGAGAAAAUUUCUGUCUCUAAUUAAAUAAUAGAAUUUUAUUUUUAAGUUAAAAAGCUUAAAUAAUUUUAAAAGACGAGAAGACCCUAUAGAGUUUAAUAAUUAAUAGUUUAUUUUUUUUUGGUUUUAAAAUUUAAUUUAUUUUUAAUUAUUUAGUUGGGGUGAUUGAAAAAUUUAUUUAACUUUUUUUAUAUUUAAACAAUUAUAUUUGAAUCUUUGAUCCGUUUAUAUGAUUAAAAGAAAUAAUUACCUUAGGGAUAACAGCGUAAUUUUUUUAGAGAGUUCUUAUCGAAAAAAAAGUUUGCGACCUCGAUGUUGGAUUAAAAUUUAAAUUUGGUGUAGAAGCUAAAUUUUUUAGUCUGUUCGACUAUUGAAAUUUUACAUGAUCUGAGUUUAAACCGGUGUGAGCCAGGUUGGUUUCUAUCUUUAGAUAAUAUUAAUAUUUUAGUACGAAAGGACCAGAUAUUAAAUUUAAAAUUUUAAGUUUGAAUUAUAUUGUUAUUUUGGCAGAAUAGUGCGAUAGAUUUAGAAUCUUUAAAUAUGUAGUAAUACAUAAAUAAUAUUUGUUAAUAAAAGAUUUAUUUUUAAUUUUUGUUUCUUUUUUAAUUUUAGUAAUUUGUGUUUUAGUUGGGGUGGCUUUUUUAACUUUACUUGAGCGUAAGGUUUU